This 301-nucleotide ribosomal RNA is filed under the name uncultured bacterium. RNAcentral describes it as "partial 16S ribosomal RNA". It matches the Rfam family "Bacterial small subunit ribosomal RNA", at positions 509 to 807 of the family's 1533-position model. The record is from RNAcentral.
CAGUCGCCGCGGGAAUACAGAGGGUGCGAGCGUUAAUCGGAUUUACUGGGCGUAAAGCGUGCGUAGGCGGCUUCUUAAGUCGGAUGUGAAAUCCCUGAGCUUAACUUAGGAAUUGCAUUCGAUACUGGGAAGCUAGAGUAUGGGAGAGGAUGGUAGAAUUCCAGGUGUAGCGGUGAAAUGCGUAGAGAUCUGGAGGAAUACCGAUGGCGAAGGCAGCCAUCUGGCCUAAUACUGACGCUGAGGUACGAAAGCAUGGGAAGCAAACAGGAUUAGAUACCCGUGUAGUCCCUGUCUCUUAUAC